GUUACUGCUAUCGGUGUUCGACUAAGCCAUGCAAGUCAUAUGUUCUUCGUGAACAUGGCAUACUGCUCAGUAACACGUGGAUAACCUGCCCUUGGGUCUGGGAUAACCCCGGGAAACUGGGGAUAACACCGGAUAACGCAUAUGUGCUGGAAUGCUUUAUGCGUAAAACGGAUUCGUCCGCCCAAGGAUGGGUCUGCGGCCUAUCAGGUAGUAGUGGGUGUAAUGUACCUACUAGCCAACAACGGGUACGGGUUGUGAGAGCAAGAGCCCGGAGAUGGAUUCUGAGACAUGAAUCCAGGCCCUACGGGGCGCAGCAGGCGCGAAAACUAUACAAUGCGGGAAACCGUGAUAAGGGAACACCGAGUGCCAGCAUCAUAUGCUGGCUGUCCAGAUGUGUAAAGUACAUCUGUUAGCAAGGGCCGGGCAAGACCGGUGCCAGCCGCCGCGGUAACACCGGCGGCCCGAGUGGUGACCGUUAUUAUUGGGUCUAAAGGGUCCGUAGCCGGUUUGGUCAGUCCUCCGGGAAAUCUGAUAGCUUAACUGUUAGGCUUUCGGGGGAUACUGCCAGGCUUGGAACCGGGAGAGGUAAGAGGUACUACAGGGGUAGGAGUGAAAUCUUGUAAUCCCUGUGAGACCACCUGUGGCGAAGGCGUCUUACCAGAACGGGUUCGACGGUGAGGGACGAAAGCUGGGGGCACGAACCGGAUUAGAUACCCGGGUAGUCCCAGCCGUAAACUAUGCUCGCUAGGUGUCAGGCAUGGCGCGACCGUGUCUGGUGCCGCAGGGAAGCCGUGAAGCGAGCCACCUGGGAAGUACGGUCGCAAGGCUGAAACUUAAAGGAAUUGGUGGGGGAGCACCACAACGGGUGGAGCUUGCGGUUUAAUUGGAUUCAACGCCGGAAAUCUUACCGGGACCGACAGCAAUAUGAAGGCCAGGCUGAAGACUUUGCCGGAUUAGCUGAGAGGUGGUGCAUGGCCGUCGUCAGUUCGUACUGUGAAGCAUCCUGUUAAGUCAGG
Molecule: ribosomal RNA, 1016 nt
Filed under: uncultured archaeon
Lineage: Archaea
Description: bacterial SSU rRNA
Rfam family: Archaeal small subunit ribosomal RNA
Source: RNAcentral